GCCUGGGUAGCUCAGUCGGUUAAGUGUCUGAUUUUGGCUCAGGUCAUGAUCUUACCAUUCAUGGGUUUGAGCCCCAUGUCAGGCU
RNAcentral lists this transfer RNA (85 nucleotides) under Felis catus (domestic cat). It matches the Rfam family "tRNA". From Rfam's summary of the family: Transfer RNA (tRNA) molecules are approximately 80 nucleotides in length. RNAcentral also lists the same sequence under 1 other name. Lineage: Eukaryota; Metazoa; Chordata; Mammalia; Carnivora; Felidae. The record is from Rfam by way of RNAcentral.